Limulus polyphemus (Atlantic horseshoe crab) is the source of this 143-nucleotide long non-coding RNA. RefSeq lists it as uncharacterized. The record is from RefSeq and is a predicted model, not a curated record. Lineage: Eukaryota; Metazoa; Arthropoda; Merostomata; Xiphosura; Limulidae. The transcript has 2 exons.
UGCCAGGGAAACGGAAAGACCACCCAGUUUUAUGAUGGACAUAACAUACAUUACAGAACGUAUUAUCGUCCUGACUUUUCCUGAGUCCGGAACAGAUGCUACGUACAGGAGUAACUUAAAAGAAGUAACUCGUAUGCUUCGAA